This 253-nucleotide ribosomal RNA is filed under the name uncultured bacterium. Its description in RNAcentral is "partial 16S ribosomal RNA". It matches the Rfam family "Bacterial small subunit ribosomal RNA", at positions 524 to 776 of the family's 1533-position model. The record is from RNAcentral.
UACGUAGGGUGCAAGCGUUAAUCGGAAUUACUGGGCGUAAAGCGUGCGCAGGCGGUGAUGUAAGACAGAUGUGAAAUCCCCGGGCUCAACUUGGGAACUGCAUUUGUGACUGCAUCGCUGGAGUGCGGCAGAGGGGGAUGGAAUUCCGCGUGUAGCAGUGAAAUGCGUAGAUAUGCGGAGGAACACCGAUGGCGAAGGCAAUCCCCUGGGCCUGCACUGACGCUCAUGCACGAAAGCGUGGGGAGCGAACGGG